This 234-nucleotide transfer-messenger RNA is filed under the name Bacillota bacterium. RNAcentral describes it as "Firmicutes bacterium (anaerobic digester metagenome) partial transfer-messenger RNA". It matches the Rfam family "transfer-messenger RNA", at positions 124 to 374 of the family's 374-position model. From Rfam's summary of the family: Bacterial tmRNA, also known as 10Sa RNA or SsrA, is named for its dual tRNA and mRNA-like properties. The record is from RNAcentral. Lineage: Bacteria; Bacillati; Bacillota.
CUUAGUUCAGCUAACGUCCCUUGUUUCUUUGUCUGUAGGAAAUAAGAGUGACGUCAAAUUACAGACUACCCUUUGAGACGUGCCUGGAUCUUGAGGGGGAAACUUACGGGCUGGUUUGUCCUUUAGCUGGCCACAAAGUAGAAGGACCAACGAGAACCUAAUUUGUGGCUGCGCUCGGAGAUGCUGGUGUGAUUCCACUUACGGACAGCGGUGCAACUCCGCUCACCUCCACCA